Molecule: unclassified non-coding RNA, 386 nt
Filed under: Hevea brasiliensis (rubber tree)
Lineage: Eukaryota; Viridiplantae; Streptophyta; Magnoliopsida; Malpighiales; Euphorbiaceae
Source: RNAcentral
UAGUUACUGAGAUUUCUUCCUACUUGUUGCUGAUUUUUGUGUUUGGAAUUGCUGAGAUAAGCUUUUUUCAGCUUUCUUGUGUUUUGUUCUGCAUGAAGUAAAAUGGCUGCAAUUUGUUUAUUCUAAUCAGUAUUAAUAAUCUUUGGAGGUCAAAUGGAGGUGUUGUUGUUAUGUGUGCCAUGGUUUUUUUGCGAUAUUCAUUUGCUGCACUUACAGAUGCAAAGGUAUCUUUCAGGGACAGAGGAGAAUUUGUAAUUGAUUAUUAGUUAAAUGAUUUUCAUCUCUUACAUUGGAGAUAAAAACCAAAUGGUGCUUUUUUGUUUAUUAUCUGUUGAACUGAUUGUGGGCCUUCCAACUUUCAAUCCUUAUUAUGUAUUAGAAUUCCG